UCUUGAAUCUAUAUGGAAUGCAUCUGCAAAUCAAAUUCAAGAGUCCAAGAAUUAGAAAUAAUGAACUGCCAUUUGUCAGCAAAAUAAAAAUUAAUAAUUUAUUUUAAUCAAAAGAAUAAAACAACAAAAUUCAGUAGUAGAAAGCCGAAAUUGGAGAAAGAGACAGCGGAAACUCUAGCAGCUGUGUCCUUAAUCCAAAAGGAAUACAAAUGGGGCCACCCAUAAAAUUCUUCCAUAUAUACGUUCCAAAAAGAAAAUUUGUAUCCAAAUCCAACAAAAAUGGCUGCUGCAUUCUCGAAUUAAUCUUACAAAACACGCCAAAAAAAAUGAAGAAAUUAAUUAAAAGAUUAAAAAACGUUAAAAAUAUUAUACUCACCCUACAACUUGGCGGCGACCCUGG
RNAcentral lists this unclassified non-coding RNA (400 nucleotides) under Hevea brasiliensis (rubber tree). Lineage: Eukaryota; Viridiplantae; Streptophyta; Magnoliopsida; Malpighiales; Euphorbiaceae. The record is from RNAcentral.